Molecule: ribosomal RNA, 1281 nt
Filed under: Galerucella birmanica (water lily leaf beetle)
Lineage: Eukaryota; Metazoa; Arthropoda; Insecta; Coleoptera; Chrysomelidae
Also listed under: 1 other name
Description: 16S ribosomal RNA
Source: RNAcentral
AAUUAAAAAUUUAUUAAAUUUUUAAGUUUUAUAAAAUUUUUAAAUUAAAAAAAAUAUUUUUUAUUAUAUUAUAGAAAAAAUUAAUUUUAUUAUAGUUAAAUAGUAUUGUGAAAGAAAAAAAUUAAUUGUUGAAUAGAAAAAUUCUUUUUUUGUACCUUGUGUAUCAGGGUUUAUUAACUAAAAAUUAUUUAUUUAAUUAUCUCGAAUUUAAAAGAUCUAAAAAGUUAAUAUUUUUAUUGUAAAAUAAAUAUUUUUAAUUAUUUUUUAGUAAUGAAAUGUUAUUCGUUUUUAAAUAUAUCUAGUUUUUUAAGAAAAAAAUUUAAUUUAUUUAUUAUUAAUAUAACUAUAAUUGUAUAUUUUUAUAUUAUUAAUAUUAAAUAUUUUUAGGGAUGAGCUUAAAAAUAAAUAAUUAUUAGAAAUUUAAAGAUAAAUUAAAAUUAGGAUUAAAAAUUUUCAAAUUUUAAAGUAUGUUAUAAUUUAUAUUAUAUUUAUAUAAUUUUUAUUUUCUAUAAAUUUUUUAUUAAAAUUUAAAUUUAAAUUAAAAAAAUUUAGUAAUAAUGAUAAAAUUAGUAUAUAAAAAUUAUAUAAAUAUAUUUUUAUGUAAGGUUAGUUAAAGGAAUUCGGCAAAUAUUUUUUCACCUGUUUAUUAAAAACAUGUCUUUUUGUAUAAUAUUUAAAGUCUAGUCUGCCCUCUGAUUAAAUUGAAUGGCCGCGGUAUUUUGACCGUGCUAAGGUAGCAUAAUCAUUAGUUUUUUAAUUGAAAGCUGGAAUGAAGGGCUGAAUGAAAAAAAAACUGUCUCUAAUUAAUUAUUUUAGAAUUUUAUUUUUAAGUUAAAAAGCUUAAAUUUUAUUAAAAGACGAGAAGACCCUAUAGAGUUUAAUAAUUUUAUACUAUAAAAAAUUUGGRAUUAAUAUUUUUAUUUUUAUAUAAUUAUUUGAUUGGGGUGAUUAAAAAAUUUAAUAAACUUUUUUAUUUAUUUAUAUUGAUUAAUAAAUAAUUGAUCCAAAAAUUUUGAUUAUAAGAUAAAAUUACCUUAGGGAUAACAGCGUAAUUUUAUUUGAGAGUUCUAAUCGAUAAUAAAGUUUGCGACCUCGAUGUUGGAUUAAAAUUUAUAAUUGGUGUAGAAGCUAUAUUAUUAAGUCUGUUCGACUUUUAAAAUUUUACAUGAUCUGAGUUUAAACCGGUGUAAGCCAGGUUGGUUUCUAUCUUUAAUUUAAAAAUUUAUUUUAGUACGAAAGGACCAAAUAUAAUAAAUAAUAUUUUAAUUUUUGAAUAAAAUU